Molecule: ribosomal RNA, 389 nt
Filed under: Draconarius sp. SD019
Lineage: Eukaryota; Metazoa; Arthropoda; Arachnida; Araneae; Agelenidae
Description: partial 16S ribosomal RNA
Source: RNAcentral
CUCAAUGAAAUUAAAUAGCCGCAAUACUUUGUGCUAAGGUAGCAUAAUCAUUUGUCUUUUAAUUAAAGACUAGAACGAAAGAUUUAAUAUUUUUAUUUCUUUCUAACAUAUAAAUAUUUAAUUUAUUUCAAAUAUAAAAAAAUAUUUAUUUCUAAAGAAGACGAUAAGACCCUAUUGAACUUAACUAAAGUUAAACUGGGGUAGUUAAUUAAAUAUAAUUUUAAUUUAAAUUUCAAAAAAAACCUAAUAUAAUUAAAAUUAUCAAGUUACCAUAGGGAUAACAGCGUAAUAAUUUUCCUAAGUUCUUAUUACAAAAAUUGUUUGCGACCUCGAUGUUGAAUUAAUAAUCUAUUAAAUGCAAUAACUUAAUAAGAAAGUCUGUUCGACUU